This 248-nucleotide ribosomal RNA is filed under the name Vibrio parahaemolyticus. RNAcentral's name for it is "partial 16S ribosomal RNA". It matches the Rfam family "Bacterial small subunit ribosomal RNA", at positions 535 to 782 of the family's 1533-position model. The record is from RNAcentral. Lineage: Bacteria; Pseudomonadati; Pseudomonadota; Gammaproteobacteria; Vibrionales; Vibrionaceae.
CGAGCGUUAAUCGGAAUUACUGGGCGUAAAGCGCAUGCAGGUGGUUUGUUAAGUCAGAUGUGAAAGCCCGGGGCUCAACCUCGGAAUUGCAUUUGAAACUGGCAGACUAGAGUACUGUAGAGGGGGGUAGAAUUUCAGGUGUAGCGGUGAAAUGCGUAGAGAUCUGAAGGAAUACCGGUGGCGAAGGCGGCCCCCUGGACAGAUACUGACACUCAGAUGCGAAAGCGUGGGGAGCAAACAGGAUUAGA